Molecule: ribosomal RNA, 732 nt
Filed under: uncultured fungus
Lineage: Eukaryota; Fungi
Description: bacterial LSU rRNA
Rfam family: Bacterial large subunit ribosomal RNA (bases 33-388)
Source: RNAcentral
CACUGUCGGACAGAAAGACCCUAUGAAGCUUGACUGUAGCUUGUAAUUGAAUUCGGGCUUUUUUCGCGCAGCCUAGGUGGGAGGCAACGAUGAUUUUUUUCCGGAAAAAUUUAAGCCGUUAGUGAGAGACCACUCUGAAAAGGCUAGAAUCCUAAUAAUGAUCCUUGAAUCAGGACAUUUGACAGUUGCAGGUGGGCAGUUUUACUGGGGCGGUAUUCUCCUAAAAAGUAACGGAGGGGUGCAAAGGUUCCCUCAAGCUGGACGGAAAUCAGCUUAAGAGUGUAAAGGCAAAAGGGAGCUUGACUGCAAGACCUACAAGUCGAGCAGGGGCGAAAGCCGGCCUUAGUGAUCCGACGGUACCACGUGGAAGGGCCGUCGCUCAACGGAUCUCUUGGCUCCAGCAUCGAUGAAGAACGCAGCGAAACGCGAUAUGUAAUGUGAAUUGCGAAUUCAGUGAAUCAUCGAAUCUUUGAACGCACAUGGCGCCUUCCAGUAUCCUGGGGGCAUGCCUGUCCGAGCGUCGUUUCAACCCUCGAGCCCCUGUGGCCCGGCGUUGGGGAUCUGCACGGCAGGCCCCUAAAACCAGUGGCGGACCCGAAGGGCCUCUCCUUUGCGCAGUAGCAUUCGCCUCGCAUCGGGAGUCCUCGGCGUCCUGCCUCUAAACCCCCCACAAGCCCGCUUCGGCGGCACCAAGGUUGACCUCGGAUCAGUAGGAAUACCCGCUGAACUUAA